CGUGUCGUGAGACGUCCACUUAAGUGUGGUAACGAGCGCAACCCUUAUCGUAUGUUACAAGUGUCAUACGAGACUGCUCCCGCUUUGCGGGGGAGGAAGGAGAGGAUGAUGUCAAGUCAGCAUGUCCCUUACAUCCAGGGCAACACACAUCCUACAAUGGAGCCGACAAUGGGUAGCGACGGGGUGACCCCGAGCCAAUCCUCUAAACGGCCCCUCAAUUCGGAUUGCAGGCUGAAAUUCGCCUGCAUGAAGCCGGAAUCGGUAGUAAUCGCAAAUCAGCAGGUUGCGGUGAAUACGUUCUCGCUCCUUGUACACACUGCCCGUCAAGCCAGCAAAGUCAGCAACGCCCGAAGCGGGUGUUCGGAACCGCAAGGACCGACCCUUCUACGGCGAGGUUGGCGAUGAGGACUAAGUCGUAACAAGGUAUCUGUACUGGAAGGUGCGGAUGGAUUACCUCCUUU
Molecule: ribosomal RNA, 461 nt
Filed under: Candidatus Woesebacteria bacterium
Lineage: Bacteria; Candidatus Woeseibacteriota
Description: bacterial SSU rRNA
Rfam family: Bacterial small subunit ribosomal RNA
Source: RNAcentral